Molecule: small nuclear RNA, 107 nt
Filed under: Microcebus murinus (gray mouse lemur)
Lineage: Eukaryota; Metazoa; Chordata; Mammalia; Primates; Cheirogaleidae
Source: RNAcentral
GUACUCAUUUUGGCUGCACAUACACUAAAAUUGGAAUGAUACAGAGAAGAUUGUUGUGGCCCUUGUGCAAGGAUGACACAGAAAUCUGUGGCACUUUCUAUCAAAAA